RNAcentral lists this long non-coding RNA (336 nucleotides) under Salvia miltiorrhiza (redroot sage). Its description in RNAcentral is "long non-coding RNA (SMIL_LNC011425)". The record is from RNAcentral. Lineage: Eukaryota; Viridiplantae; Streptophyta; Magnoliopsida; Lamiales; Lamiaceae.
GGCGGCGGGUACCAGAGGUCCUCCGUGGAUGGUUUGUGGCGUCGUUGUCGGCGGUGGGGGUGUAUAUCUUUUUCGGUGGAUGGUUUGUGGCGACGAGUGAUGUUGCCGGCGGUGGGAACUCAUGGUGCUGCGUCCUCCAACCGGCAGAUUUGGGGAUUUCCCUUUUUUUUGUUUUUUUUUUAUUUAUACUCACUCAAAACGACGUCGUUUUGAAUGCCGGUGAGUCCACGUCUGAAAAUUCCGGGAGCCACGUCAACACCGAUCAAGGUGGUGGUCAACGCGUGUGCAAUUUACAACCAAAUUAAAAGGUGAUGUAUUCUGGAGCUAAUUUUAAAG